This 349-nucleotide unclassified non-coding RNA is filed under the name soil metagenome. RNAcentral's name for it is "partial contains 5.8S ribosomal RNA, internal transcribed spacer 2, and large subunit ribosomal RNA". The stretch from base 1 to 120 matches the Rfam family "5.8S ribosomal RNA", at positions 35 to 154 of the family's 154-position model. The record is from RNAcentral.
GAUGAAGAACGUAGCGAAAUGCGAUAAGUAAUGUGAAUUGCAGAAUUCAGUGAAUCAUCGAAUCUUUGAACGCACAUUGCGCCCGCCAGUAUUCUGGCGGGCAUGCCUGUCCGAGCGUCAUUUCAACCCUCGAACCCCUCCGGGGGGUCGGCGUUGGGGAUCGGCCCUUUACGGGGCCGGCCCCGAAAUACAGUGGCGGUCUCGCCGCAGCCUCUCCUGCGCAGUAGUUUGCACACUCGCAUCGGGAGCGCGGCGCGUCCACAGCCGUUAAACACCCCAAACUUCUGAAAUGUUGACCUCGGAUCAGGUAGGAAUACCCGCUGAACUUAAGCAUAUCAAUAAGCGGGGA